GACGAACGCUGGCGGCGUGCUUAACACAUGCAAGUCGAACGGAAAGGCCCUGCUUUUGUGGGGUUCUCGAGUGGCGAACGGGUGAGUAACACGUGAGUAACCUGCCCUUGACUUUGGGAUAACAUCAGGAAACUGGGGCUACUACCGGAUAGGAGCUCCUGCUGCAUUGUGGGGGUUGGAAAGUUUCGGCUGUUGGGGCUGGACUCGCGGCUUAUGAGCUUGUUGGUGGGGUAGUUGCUUACCGAGGCAUGCACGGGUAGCCUGCCGGAGAGGGAGGCCAGCGACAUUGGGCCUGAGGUAGGGCACAGUGUGCUGCGGGAGGCAGCAGUGGGGAUUCUUGCACAGUGAGCGGAAGUGGGAGGAAGCAACGUCGCGUGCGUGAUGACGGCCUUCGGGUUGAAAACAGCUUUCGCCUGUGACGAAGCGUGAGUGACGGUACUUGGUGAAGAAGCACCGGCUAACUACGUG
Molecule: ribosomal RNA, 468 nt
Filed under: uncultured bacterium
Lineage: Bacteria
Description: partial 16S ribosomal RNA
Rfam family: Bacterial small subunit ribosomal RNA
Source: RNAcentral